GACGAACGCUGGCGGCGUGCUUAACACAUGCAAGUCGAGCGGUAAGGCCCUUUCGGGGGUACACGAGCGGCGAACGGGUGAGUAACACGUGGGUGACCUGCCCUCAGCUCUGGGAUAAGCCUGGGAAACUGGGUCUAAUACCGGAUAUGACUCCAUGACGCAUGUUGUGGGGUGGAAAGCCUUGUGCGGCUGAGGAUGGGCCCGCGGCCUAUCAGCUUGUUGGUGGGGUGANGGCCUACCAAGGCGACGACGGGUAGCCGGCCUGAGAGGGCGACCGGCCACACUGGGACUGAGACACGGCCCAGACUCCUACGGGAGGCAGCAGUGGGGAAUCUUGCGCAAGUGGGCGAAAGCCUGACGCAGCGACGCCGCGUGAGGGAUGACGGCCU
RNAcentral lists this ribosomal RNA (389 nucleotides) under uncultured bacterium. RNAcentral describes it as "bacterial SSU rRNA". It matches the Rfam family "Bacterial small subunit ribosomal RNA", at positions 28 to 417 of the family's 1533-position model. The record is from RNAcentral.